This 212-nucleotide long non-coding RNA is filed under the name Volvox carteri. RNAcentral describes it as "long non-coding RNA (VCAR_LNC002750)". The record is from RNAcentral. Lineage: Eukaryota; Viridiplantae; Chlorophyta; Chlorophyceae; Chlamydomonadales; Volvocaceae.
CAUAUUCCACCCGAGUAUUUAGACAUCGGAAACAACGGUAGCAACACUACCAAUGUUUCAUCAUCUGCCGUACAGGCCGUACUUACCGUCGUUCAAGUUGUGACUGUGCCCUUGGACAUUGCGGCAUCUGCAAUGACGCUCUUUACCACGGCUUACAACCACGACGUGGGCGUUACGGCCAUGCUGAUGGAGGUUCCUGUGGAGGUCUCCGC